CGACUCUCGGCAACGGAUAUCUCGGCUCGCAUCGAUGAAGAACGUAGCGAAAUGCGAUACUUGGUGUGAAUUGCAGAAUCCCGUGAACCAUCGAGUCUUUGAACGCAAGUUGCGCCCGAAGCCGUCAGGCCGAGGGCACGUCUGCCUGGGCGUCACGCAUCGCG
Molecule: ribosomal RNA, 164 nt
Filed under: Stenostomum myrtifolium
Lineage: Eukaryota; Viridiplantae; Streptophyta; Magnoliopsida; Gentianales; Rubiaceae
Description: 5.8S ribosomal RNA
Rfam family: 5.8S ribosomal RNA
About the family: 5.8S ribosomal RNA (5.8S rRNA) is a component of the large subunit of the eukaryotic ribosome. It is transcribed by RNA polymerase I as part of the 45S precursor that also contains 18S and 28S rRNA.
Source: RNAcentral